This 491-nucleotide ribosomal RNA is filed under the name uncultured bacterium. Its description in RNAcentral is "partial 16S ribosomal RNA". It matches the Rfam family "Bacterial small subunit ribosomal RNA", at positions 29 to 523 of the family's 1533-position model. The record is from RNAcentral.
AAUGAACGCUAGCGGCAGGCCUAAUACAUGCAAGUCGAACGGUGUCUUCGGACAUAGUGGCGCACGGGUGCGUAACACGUAUGCAACCUACCUUACAUUGGGGGAUAGCCUUUCGAAAGGGAGAUUAAUACCGCAUAAGACAGUAGCUGGGCAUCCAGCAGCUGUUAAAGAUUUAUCGAUGUAAGCUGGGCAUGCGUCCAAUUAGCUAGUUGGUGAGGUAACGGCUCACCAAGGCAAUGAUUGGUAGGGGAACUGAGAGGUCAAUCCCCCACACUGGCACUGAGAUACGGGCCAGACUCCUACGGGAGGCAGCAGUGGGGAAUUUUGGACAAUGGGCGCAAGCCUGAUCCAGCCAUUCCGCGUGCAGGAAGAAGGCCUUCGGGUUGUAAACUGCUUUUGUACGGAACGAAACGCGCUGAGCUAAUACCUCGGCGUAAUGACGGUACCGUAAGAAUAAGCACCGGCUAACUACGUGCCAGCCGCCGCCGUAA